AGUGAACGCUGGCGGUAGGCCUAACACAUGCAAGUCGAACGGCAGCACAGUAAGAGCUUGCUCUUACGGGUGGCGAGUGGCGGACGGGUGAGGAUUACAUCGGAAUCUACUUUUUCGUGGGGGGUAACGUAGGGAAACUUACGCUAAUACCGCAUACGACCUACGGGUGAAAGCAGGGGAUCUUCGGACCUUGCGCGAUUGAAUGAGCCGAUGUCGGAUUAGCUAGUUGGCGGGGUAAAGGCCCACCAAGGCGACGAUCCGUAGCUGGUCUGAGAGGAUGAUCAGCCACACUGGAACUGAGACACGGUCCAGACUCCUACGGGAGGCAGCAGUGGGGAAUAUUGGACAAUGGGCGCAAGCCUGAUCCAGCCAUACCGCGUGGGUGAAGAAGGCCUUCGGGUUGUAAAGCCCUUUUGUUGGGAAAGAAAAGCAGCAGGUUAAUACCCCGCUGUUCUGACGGUACCCAAAGAAUAAGCACCGGCUAACUUCGUG
This 492-nucleotide ribosomal RNA is filed under the name uncultured bacterium. RNAcentral's name for it is "partial 16S ribosomal RNA". It matches the Rfam family "Bacterial small subunit ribosomal RNA", at positions 29 to 507 of the family's 1533-position model. The record is from RNAcentral.